UGCAGUCGACGCCCCGCAAGGGGAGUGGCAGACGGGUGAGUAACACGUGGGAACGUACCCUUUUCUACGGAAUAACCCAGGGAAACUUGGACUAAUACCGUAUGUGCCCUUCGGGGGAAAGAUUUAUCGGAAAAGGAUCGGCCCGCGUUGGAUUAGCUAGUUGGUGGGGUAAAGGCCUACCAAGGCGACGAUCCAUAGCUGGUCUGAGAGGAUGAUCAGCCACAUUGGGACUGAGACACGGCCCAAACUCCUACGGGAGGCAGCAGUGGGGAAUAUUGGACAAUGGGCGCAAGCCUGAUCCAGCCAUGCCGCGUGAGUGAUGAAGGCCUUAGGGUUGUAAAGCUCUUUCACCGGAGAAGAUAAUGACGGUAUCCGGAGAAGAAGCCCCGGCUAACUUCGUGCCAGCAGCCGCGGUAAUACGAAGGGGGCUAGCGUUGUUCGGAUUUACUGGGCGUAAAGCGCACGUA
Molecule: ribosomal RNA, 467 nt
Filed under: Rhizobium sp.
Lineage: Bacteria; Pseudomonadati; Pseudomonadota; Alphaproteobacteria; Hyphomicrobiales; Rhizobiaceae
Description: bacterial SSU rRNA
Rfam family: Bacterial small subunit ribosomal RNA
Source: RNAcentral